Molecule: ribosomal RNA, 366 nt
Filed under: uncultured bacterium
Lineage: Bacteria
Description: bacterial SSU rRNA
Rfam family: Bacterial small subunit ribosomal RNA
Source: RNAcentral
AACGAACGCUGGCGGCAGGCCUAACACAUGCAAGUCGAACGCUCGUAGCAAUACGGGAGUGGCAGACGGGUGAGUAACACGUGGGAACCUACCCUUUGGUUCGGAAUAGCCCAGGGAAACUUGGGGUAAUACCGGAUAAGCCCUUCGGGGAAAGAUUUAUCGCCGAAGGAUGGGCCCGUGUCGGAUUAGCUAGUUGGUGGGGUAACGGCCUACCAAGGCGACGAUCCGUAGCUGGUCUGAGAGGAUGAUCAGCCACACUGGGAACUGAGACACGGCCCAGACUCCUACGGGAGGCAGCAGUGGGGAAUAUUGGACAAUGGGCGCGAAGCCUGAUCCAGCCAUGCCGCGUGAGUGACGAAGGUCUUA